AAAGCGUGGGGAGCGAACAGGAUUAGAUACCCUGGUAGUCCACGCCGUAAACGAUGAGUGCUAAGUGUUAGGGGGUUUCCGCCCCUUAGUGCUGCAGCUAACGCAUUAAGCACUCCGCCUGGGGAGUACGGUCGCAAGACUGAAACUCAAAGGAAUUGACGGGGGCCCGCACAAGCGGUGGAGCAUGUGGUUUAAUUCGAAGCAACGCGAAGAACCUUACCAGGUCUUGACAUCCUCUGACAACCCUAGAGAUAGGGCUUUCCCUUCGGGGACAGAGUGACAGGUGGUGCAUGGUUGUCGUCAGCUCGUGUCGUGAGAUGUUGGGUUAAGUCCCGCAACGAGCGCAACCCUUGAUCUUAGUUGCCAGCAUUCAGUUGGGCACUCUAAGGUGACUGCCGGUGACAAACCGGAGGAAGGUGGGGAUGACGUCAAAUCAUCAUGCCCCUUAUGACCUGGGCUACACACGUGCUACAAUGGACAGAACAAAGGGCUGCAAGACCGCAAGGUUU
This 509-nucleotide ribosomal RNA is filed under the name Bacillus safensis. Its description in RNAcentral is "bacterial SSU rRNA". It matches the Rfam family "Bacterial small subunit ribosomal RNA", at positions 756 to 1265 of the family's 1533-position model. Lineage: Bacteria; Bacillati; Bacillota; Bacilli; Caryophanales; Bacillaceae. The record is from RNAcentral.